Molecule: ribosomal RNA, 253 nt
Filed under: uncultured bacterium
Lineage: Bacteria
Description: partial 16S ribosomal RNA
Rfam family: Bacterial small subunit ribosomal RNA
Source: RNAcentral
UACGUAGGGCGCAAGCGUUGUCCGGAAUUAUUGGGCGUAAAGAGCUCGUAGGCGGCUUGUCACGUCGGGUGUGAAAGCCCGGGGCUUAACCCCGGGUCUGCAUUCGAUACGGGCAGGCUAGAGUGUGGUAGGGGAGAUCGGAAUUCCUGGUGUAGCGGUGAAAUGCGCAGAUAUCAGGAGGAACACCGGUGGCGAAGGCGGCCCUCUGGACGGAUACUGACGCUGAGACGCGAAAGCGUGGGGAGCAAACAGG